CAGUCGACGACAUGGAUUGUGGUACCAAAUCCACAGCAGCUGAGGCCAAGUAGUCUCUUAAACGCACAGAGGAGCCGCCACGUGUCUGAGCUUUUGGUGCUGCCCCAGGAGGAGGCUGCUCAGCCCGAGACCGCGGUGGCGAGUUUUGUGUCAGCGCUCGGGAGAGGGGAGCUUCGGCCGUCUGGAGGUUUGACAGGGGGAGGCAGGAAGGGAAAUGCUAAGGCUGCAUGUUUGACUUGCUGGAGCUUUAAACAGAAAAACAAAYGGAGAGCGCUUUUCUCGCCCGUUUUGGGACAAUGACCGUAACUGAGGAAGCUUCACGUUUGGGAUUAUUUCACUUUCCUGUCCAGCCUGGUAUCUGAAGUUCUACUCGCCUUCGAGGAGGUAUAAGCACUGAGAUUCCCAGGAUGUAAGAAAUACAUUACUGUGAGUAGCUUUUUUUCUAUUUUGCUUUUAAGAGAGAAAACCAACCUUGCGCAAACAGAAGGAAGAUUUAAAAAAAGAGAAAAAGACACUUUAAGAAAUGUUUACAGCAAGCAAAUCUAGUAUUUUGGAACCAGUUGUACAUCUUUGGCACCUCUUUGCAACCCACAAAAUAAAGUGAGCACUGUAUUAUCA
This 618-nucleotide long non-coding RNA is filed under the name Dromaius novaehollandiae (emu). Its description in RNAcentral is "lncRNA (ENSDNVG00000008375.1)". Lineage: Eukaryota; Metazoa; Chordata; Aves; Casuariiformes; Dromaiidae. The record is from RNAcentral.